AGUGAACGCUGGCGGUAGGCCUAACACAUGCAAGUCGAACGGCAGCACAGUAAGAGCUUGCUCUUACGGGUGGCGAGUGGCGGACGGGUGAGGAAUACAUCGGAAUCUACUUUUUCGUGGGGGAUAACGUAGGGAAACUUACGCUAAUACCGCAUACGACCUACGGGUGAAAGCAGGGGAUCUUCGGACCUUGCGCGAUUGAAUGAGCCGAUGUCGGAUUAGCUAGUUGGCGGGGUAAAGGCCCACCAAGGCGACGAUCCGUAGCUGGUCUGAGUGGAUGAUCAGCCACACUGGAACUGAGACACGGUCCAGAAUCCUACGGGAGGCAGCAGUGGGGAAUAUUGGACAAUGGGCGCAAGCCUGAUCCAGCCAUACCGCGUGGGUGAAGAAGGCCUUCGGGUUGUAAAGCCCUUUUGUUGGGAAAGAAAAGCAGCAGGUUAAUACCCCGCUGUUCUGACGGGACCCAAAGAAUAAGCACCGGCGAACUUCGU
Molecule: ribosomal RNA, 491 nt
Filed under: uncultured bacterium
Lineage: Bacteria
Description: partial 16S ribosomal RNA
Rfam family: Bacterial small subunit ribosomal RNA
Source: RNAcentral